Molecule: ribosomal RNA, 386 nt
Filed under: Ichthyosporea sp.
Lineage: Eukaryota; Ichthyosporea
Description: partial small subunit ribosomal RNA
Rfam family: Eukaryotic small subunit ribosomal RNA
Source: RNAcentral
AUUCCAGCUCCAAUAGCGUAUAUUAAAGUUGUUGCAGUUAAAAAGCUCGUAGUUGGAUUUUGAGUUUUGUAAGCUCGGUCAUUUAUUUAAAUGUACUGACUUGCUGGCUCUUCUUCUCGAGGCCUAUGGGUGUACUUAACCGUGUGUUCAUAGUGUUCGGGACUUUUACCGUGAGAAAAUUAGAGUGUUCAUAGCAGGCUUUUGCUUGAAUAUUGCAGCAUGGAAUAAUGGAAUAGGAUCAUGAUCUUAUUUUGUUGGUUUCUAAGAUCAAGAUAAUGAUUAAUAGGGAUAGUUGGGGGCGUUAAUAUUUAGUUGUCAGAGGUGAAAUUCUUAGAUUUACAAAAGAUUAACUUCUGCGAAAGCAUUCGCCAAGGAUGUUUUCAUCG